RNAcentral lists this ribosomal RNA (885 nucleotides) under uncultured Sphingobacteriales cum 'Crenotrichaceae' bacterium. RNAcentral's name for it is "bacterial SSU rRNA". It matches the Rfam family "Bacterial small subunit ribosomal RNA", at positions 13 to 894 of the family's 1533-position model. The record is from RNAcentral. Lineage: Bacteria; Pseudomonadati; Bacteroidota; Sphingobacteriia; Sphingobacteriales.
UUGAUCCUGGCUCAGGAUGAACGCUAGCGGCAGGCUUAAUACAUGCAAGUCGAGGGGCAGCAUGAAGUAGCAAUACUUUGAUGGCGACCGGCAAACGGGUGCAGAACACGUACACAACCUUCCUUUAAGUGGGGAAUAGCCCAGAGAAAUUUGGAUUAAUACCCCGUAACACAACGAAGUGGCAUCACUUUGUUGUUAUAGUUUCGGCGCUUAAUGAUGGGUGUGCGUAUGAUUAGAUAGUUGGCGAGGUAACGGCUCACCAAGUCUACGAUCAUUAGCUGAUGUGAGAGCAUGAUCAGCCACACGGGCACUGAGACACGGGCCCGACUCCUACGGGAGGCAGCAGUAAGGAAUAUUGGUCAAUGGACGCAAGUCUGAACCAGCCAUGCCGCGUGAAGGAUUAAGGUCCUCUGGAUUGUAAACUUCUUUUAUAUGGGACGAAAAAAGGUCUUUCUAGACCCCUUGACGGUACCAUAUGAAUAAGCACCGGCUAACUCCGUGCCAGCAGCCGCGGUAAUACGGAGGGUGCAAGCGUUAUCCGGAUUCACUGGGUUUAAAGGGUGCGUAGGCGGGUAGGUAAGUCAGUGGUGAAAUCCUGGAGCUCAACUCCAGAACUGCCAUUGAUACUAUCUAUCUUGAAUAUUGUGGAGGUAAGCGGAAUAUGUCAUGUAGCGGUGAAAUGCUUAGAUAUGACAUAGAACACCCAUUGCGAAGGCAGCUUACUACGCAUAUAUUGACGCUGAGGCACGAAAGCGUGGGGAUCAAACAGGAUUAGAUACCCUGGUAGUCCACGCCCUAAACUAUGGAUACUCGACAUAUGCGAUACACUGUAUGUGUCUGAGCGAAAGCACUAAGUAUCCCACCUGGGAAGUACGUUCGCAAGAA